Xyrichtys novacula (pearly razorfish) is the source of this 2068-nucleotide non-coding RNA. NCBI's taxonomy places the organism in Eukaryota, Metazoa, Chordata, Actinopteri, Labriformes, Labridae. The record is from the annotation of a GenBank genome assembly.
ACUUUUUCUCAACAACCGAGGAGAUGCUGGACGGGCUCUGACAUUUACAGAGAUGUUCGCUUUUUUCUUUUGAGGAGCUAAGAAAAGAAAUUUGUAUAACUCAGACCAUCCCUCUUUUGAAAUGUCAGAUUCAGGCAUGUCGGAGCGUUUUUUCUUUUUUUUUUGUUUUUCCAGCAUGUUGGACUCAUAGACUCAUUCAUUAAAUCCAGCUUGGACCGGGGGAGUAUUUUUCUUUCCUGUUAACGCUGACAGUUUGUGGGGUUAAGAACAACUGCCAAGCUGAUUAUAUUUAAGUAACUGUUAAACUGUGUGAUGAUCAGAAAAGGAGAAUGAACCAAGACCAGUUUGGUGUUUGCAUGUCGGAGAGAGACGGAGCUUCACAGAGGCUCUGCUUUAGCUCAGGUGUUAUGUGCCUCAGGACAGAAAGUGUGCUGUUUUCAACCGUGUGCAUGUCGUGACAUAUAAUGGGUACUUUGCUGGUAGUUUGUACAUGCAAAACGGCUGUUGCAGGUGCGUGUGUGUGUUCCGUGUGUGGGUGUGUUAUCUUGCAAAAGAGAGAGAGAGAGAGAGAGAGAGAGAGAGAGAAAGGGAAGAAGAGGAAUAGGAAGUGAGAGAGGAAAAGUGAGAGUUGCAUGGAGCUCAACACGGUUCGCCACAGAUGGUUAUUGUUUAGAAUUCCAGGGUCGUGAUCUCAUGCUGCGCUCUGCCUCUAUCUCACAGACCCUGUAGGCUAUGAAUUAAUCAAACGAAACACAGGCCUUGAUAUUGUAAGUGCUCUGCUAUCAGAUUACAGACUACAGCCCCUGUCAACAGAAAUGGGAUUACUCCAGGAAUAGGCAGAGACACUUGUGAUUAAAGCUGCAGCCGGCAGCUCUCUGCAGAGGAAGGCCAGUCCUGCAAAUGUCCAGAAACUCAUAUUUCAAACAUCACAGGGCGUCUGCGAUCAUCUCACCUCCAGUCUGCAGGACAGAGGUAGGCUUCCUCUCUCUUUCUACUCUGUUUACUUUGCUGUUCAGGGGGGUAUCCUGUCUGUGCACGCUCUUUCUUCUUCCUCUGUCUCCUCAGCCAAUCACAGCGAGGAUGUCAGCAGGAGAAGCCUCUGAUAGAUAACGUCCCAAAAAAGCCUCUUUGUUUGCACACGGCAACCAGCAAAGGAGCCUUUGAUGAGAUGAAGUGUCCCGCCUGUCGCCCACUGCCCCACACCUCCCAUUAUCUCCUGCGUCUCCUCCUCCUCCUCCCUGUGUGUGUGUGUGAUCCCGGCGCAGAGCGAGGCGGGACUGAAGCGUUUAGCUGCUGUCAGUCAGCGAGAACGAGGAUGCAGAAGACGAGCUGUCUUGGCUGACUGCGAGCAAACGAGCCACAGAGGCCCCAUUACUUUCCCCGCUUGUCAGGAAGGAGUUAACCCCGAGAGGGGAGGCCAAACAUUAGGCUCAAUGGUAACUGAGUGUGUAAUUAAUGCCGCAAUGUGUCCAGUCCCCAGGACCUCCUCAACCUCUGGAGCCUUUCUCAGAGUCUGGAGGAGAGGGAGAGGUCAGUCAGAGGAGAGGGGGGCAUCCGGGCCCCCUUAUGCCACUGCAUCUGUCCAGAGAGGGGAUAGAGUCUCCGCCGGGGCCUCAGGCGAAUGACCCUUGUCAGCCAUGAAGUUAUGGGAGACAACAGAGUGGUCUCCGAUGACGGAUGUGAGGAGCGAGAGAACAUUUCAAGUCCCAUGAUUUACAGACUUUGUUUCGUGGGUCGAUUUGAUUAUUGUGACACGCAAAAAAUAACACAAACACCCUAAAACAGGCCUGAAGGGCUCCGUGAAGGGAGCAGACACAAAGACCACAAACAAGAGAAUAAAGAAACAACAACACUUUAUAUGAAAAUCCUUCUGAUAAACGUUAACUCACACUUUAGAGCCGGUAUGUUAUAAACUCCUGUUAGAGCUUUAUUGAUGCUGUAUAACAUCUAAUUAAAGUUAAUGAGCGGUCUUUACAUUGUUUAUGCUGAGUGUUACAGUUCAUUAAGAAUUUAAUAAAUGUUUAUACAGUCAUAUUAACAUAAAUAAACAUUUGAUUACAUUUAAAAA